GUAGGAGGAAUACUCGAAGAGUAUGCACCAGUCUCCUAAUCGUACAUGCAUGGCACAACAGUCAUCCAGAAACUGGACUUUUUCAAGAAUUUCAUCCUCUGAAAGUAUAUAUAUAAAUGAGACAAAUGUAAUGAAAUCAUUCAAUGCUAAGAUAACCUGUAAUAAUGCCAGUGUAGUGAAUCCCAUAACAUACUCAGAUCCUACAGAAGGAUGACUCUUGUGCGUUAGUGCUAUUUUUUAUUCUUACCAAGAUGUUCUUAACACAUGGUACUUAGAUUCUGUCACUGAUUUCAAUAAUUUACUUUACCCUGCAUGGUAGUGUUUAUUAUGCAGUGUCUACAUUCCUACUUCGAGUAUUUCUGUACCACCAACCUGUUCUAUUUGCUGCAUCUCAUGGGACUUUUUUCCCACAUGGUGUGCACGUCUCUUACAUUUUUUACCAGCCUGUAUUAUUUGUUUUGCUUGUGUAUAUUGCCUGGUAGUACAUUUCUAUAGAAUUUGUGUCACCAUCUUAUAUAAUUGGCUUUGCCCCAUAUACAUGUAUUGCAGUGGUGUUCAUGUCUGAGAUAAACGGGUUGAGUAUUUAUUAUUUCAUACAAAAGAUUUCAGACUAGUGAAGCAAAUACUUUUUCUAAAUAGAUACAAGUUUGGUUAAUAGUGCAAACAAGCAAUACACUUACGGUAAUUAUAUUGUUGAUAUCAAACGUCUCAUUACAUUCCAUUUUCGCGCUGUCUUCCGGAAGUACGACUGACCUCAGGUUCGCCGAGACUGACCGCGGAUCACUUCGCAAGAGGCCGAGAGUGAGUCGCGGCAUACAGACAUCAGUCCAUAAAUACACGUUCAUGAUCAGACAGACGGCCAGCCCUUUCUGCUCGUGGUAUUCUGGCUGCACGUGCACGAUGCCUUAGCAACGGCACCGGAGUUCAGAGGUCGCUCGCGGUACGGCCCUUACGGGGACGUCGUGACGGACUGGGGCGUUGGACGGGUGGUGGAGGUGCUGGACUCCAGCUUGGGACUGUCACGUGACACUGUCGUCUACUUUACGACUUUACUUUUCUGAUCACGGAGCCUGCUUGAAUAUCAAGGACUGGAUGGGCCGGCAGGUCGGAGGCUAUAACGGACCUUUCAGAUGGUCUCCAGAGGGAGCUUUCCGGGUGCCUGGUAUUGUCCGCAGGCCAGGUCAUCGACGAACCGGUCAGUCAGAUGGACAUCGCCCCCACCAUCGCUGACCUGUUGUACGUGCCGUUGCCAGGCGACCGCGUCAUGGACGGCAAGAGCUUGGUGCCCUUGUUGAGAGGAGAGACACAGACCUCGGCCCACGAGUUCCUCUUCCACUACUGUCAGGAUGAGGUCCACGCCGUCAGAUACGUACAGACCCAGAACAGGAUGCCAUAAAGAUGACAGAAACAUCGACACCAGGACGUACAUUUAUGGAAAAGUAGAUGCAGCAAAUUGGAAUGCUGGCAUCAUGCCACCAUGGUUUGCUGCUGCACGCUCAUGACCACGGAAAUCGGAGCUGAUCAAAGCCUCAGUUUCAAAAGAAAACAGUAUUCAACGAGCACGUCUUUGUUCAGUCAUAAAGAAACCUCGCAGAACCGGAACUCUUAGCACUGUCAGAACUGAAGAUCCUUAUAUUAGACAGAGGCAAGGACCAUAAUUCCAGCUUCAUGUUAGUUCCGAAAGAAACAGUUACAAUAUAUGUGUAAUGAAGCUCACAUCAAAUAAAGGCCUUGGCUGCCGGCAGCGUGAAGACAGGAUGGAAAGUACUUAGUGGUGGUCCGCUGGCGAUGUUCUUGUUCUCACAGCGUCCUGCAACUGCAACUCCUGCUGAUGCUGCUGAUGUUCUUGUCACUGCUGCAUCAUGGGAAAAGUUUUUUUUUUUGGUACAUAACUCGUAAGGCCAGGAUACAGCUCCGACAAGCAUAGUCUAAAAAUAGCACCGAGAGACAUGAUGGGUGGAGGGAAAGAGGAAAGGUGUUAAAGAUCUGUGAUUUCAAUCACUGCUUGGAAACAAACCACUUGACUCGUUCAACCCUUUCACGCUUUUCAAACGAAUGGAAGUACCAUGGCGCGCGCUCUAAAAAUCUCUUCUUGGAUGAGCCUGCAGAGCCUAAACCCAUCGCCCGCGGCAUCGUCGUAGAGAAAACUAAUUAAGUUCCAAAAUAGUCCAAUUACCUGUUACGUGUUCGUUCAGUUCAUCGGAGAGAAAGAAAACGUUCUGAAGAAGACAGGCACCCGACUCAAGACAAUUUCCUCUCUCGGUUUUUGCCUCCCGCUUCGUUCUCAGCCCCGCUUGGAGCGCACGCCUCAGGCCUCUUGCCAGGGCACGAGCGGCAAAGGUUGCUUCUCAAUUGCUCAGCUUCCCCCAUGGCACAUCCUCUCACCAAGUAAAUCGAUGGUGAAACUCCAGAACCUUUGCAGCAAAGCGUUUAAAAGAGGAUUCCGAGGAAGGAGUGUACUUCGCUUCAAACACUUGGGAGUUGUCUUUUCUUUA
Pomacea canaliculata is the source of this 2495-nucleotide long non-coding RNA. RefSeq lists it as uncharacterized. Lineage: Eukaryota; Metazoa; Mollusca; Gastropoda; Architaenioglossa; Ampullariidae. The transcript has 4 exons. The record is from RefSeq and is a predicted model, not a curated record.